This 771-nucleotide ribosomal RNA is filed under the name Cloacimonas sp. (SeqCode). Its description in RNAcentral is "bacterial SSU rRNA". It matches the Rfam family "Bacterial small subunit ribosomal RNA", at positions 1 to 708 of the family's 1533-position model. Lineage: Bacteria; Pseudomonadati; Candidatus Cloacimonadota; Cloacimonadia (SeqCode); Cloacimonadales (SeqCode); Cloacimonadaceae (SeqCode). The record is from RNAcentral.
AUGAUGGAGAGUUUGAUCCUGGCUCAGGACGAACGCUGGCGGCGUGGAUUAGGCAUGCAAGUCGAACGGUAUGGACCUUUCGGGGUUCAGAGAGUGGCGAACGGGUGAGUAACACGUAGGUAAUCUACCCUCAAGACGGGGACAACCCAGGGAAACUUGGGCUAAUACCGGAUGUGUGUAGUGGCUAUUUUUCUGAUUAUCAUUAUUUACGUAAGUGAGUAAUAAUAAGAAGGGAAAGUGGUUAUUACAUAAAAGGUGGCGUAAGCUGCCGCUUGGGGAUGAGCCUGCGUCCUAUUAGUUAGUUGGUGAGGUAACGGCUUACCAAGGCGAUGAUAGGUAGGCGGCCUUAACGGGUGGUCGCCCACACUGGGAUUGAGAUACGGCCCAGACUCCUACGGGAGGCAGCAGUCGAGAAUAGUCUACAAUGGACGGAAGUCUGAUAGUGCGACGCCGCGUGAACGAAGAAUCCCUUCGGGGUGUAAAGUUCUUUUAUACGUGAGCAGUGUCCUUUAUAUUAAUAGUAUAAGGGGAGAGAUAUUAGCGUAUGAAUAAGCAACGGCUAACUCCGUGCCAGCAGCCGCGGUAACACGGGGGUUGCGAGCGUUGUCCGGAAUUACUAGGCGUAAAGUGCAGGUAGGCGGAUAAAUAAGUUUAAGGUUAAAGGCUACGGCUUACCCGUAGUAAGGCGUUAGAUACUGUUUAUCUGGAAUGCGGUUGAGGGAGACAGAAUUCCUGGUGUAGCGGUGGAAUGCGCAGAGAUCAGGAGGAAUA